Molecule: ribosomal RNA, 304 nt
Filed under: Pseudomonadales bacterium
Lineage: Bacteria; Pseudomonadati; Pseudomonadota; Gammaproteobacteria; Pseudomonadales
Description: partial 16S ribosomal RNA
Rfam family: Bacterial small subunit ribosomal RNA
Source: RNAcentral
UUUUUUGAGAGUUUGAUCCUAGCUCAGGAUGAACGCUGGCGGUGCGCCUUAGGCAUGCAAGUCGAACGGACUCUUCGGAGUUAGUGGCAGACGGGUGAGUAAUACAUAGGAACGUACCUUGAAGUGGGGAAUAAUUCAUCGAAAGAUGGACUAAUACCGCAUGUGAUCGCAAGAUUAAAGCAGCGAUGCGCUUCAAGAGCGGCCUAUGCACUAUCAGAUUGUUGGUGGGGUAAUGGCCUACCAAGUCUAUGACGGUUAUCCGAUGUGAGAGCAUGAUCGGACACAAUGUUACUGAGACACGGAA